UCCGCAUGUUCACAUGAUUAAAGGUAUUCCGGUAGACGAUGGGGAUGCGUUCCAUUAGAUAGUAGGCGGGGUAACGGCCCACCUAGUCUUCGAUGGAUAGGGGUUCUGAGAGGAAGGUCCCCCACAUUGGAACUGAGACACGGUCCAAACUCCUACGGGGGGCAGCAGUGAGGAAUAUUGGUCAAUGGGCGAGAGCCUGAACCAGCCAAGUAGCGUGAAGGAUGACUGCCCUAUGGGUUGUAAACUUCUUUUAUAAAGGAAUAAAGUCGGGUAUGCAUACCCGUUUGCAUGUACUUUAUGAAUAAGGAUCGGCUAACUCCGUGCCAGCAGCCGCGGUAAUACGGAGGAUCCGAGCGUUAUCCGGAUUUAUUGGGUUUAAAGGGAGCGUAGAUGGAUGUUUAAGUCAGUUGUGAAAGUUUGCGGCUCAACCGUAAAAUUGCAGUUGAUACUGGAUAUCUUGAGUGCAGUUGAGGCAGGCGGAAUUCGUGGUGUAGCGGUGAAAUGCUUAGAUAUCACGAAGAACUCCGAUUGCGAAGGCAGCCUGCUAAGCUGCAACUGACAUUGAGGCUCGAAAGUGUGGGUAUCA
This 586-nucleotide ribosomal RNA is filed under the name uncultured bacterium. RNAcentral describes it as "bacterial SSU rRNA". It matches the Rfam family "Bacterial small subunit ribosomal RNA", at positions 168 to 770 of the family's 1533-position model. The record is from RNAcentral.